GUUUGAUCCUGGCUCAGGAUGAACGCUGGCGGCGUGCUUAACACAUGCAAGUCGAACGAACCUUCGGGUUAGUGGCGGACGGGUGAGUAACGCGUGAGAAUCUGCCCUCAGGAGGGGGAUAACGGUUGGAAACGACCGCUAAUACCCCAUAUGCCGAUAGGUGAAAUGAAUUUCGCCUGAGGAUGAGCUCGCGUCUGAUUAGCUAGUUGGUGAGGUAAUGGCUCACCAAGGCUUCGAUCAGUAGCUGGUCUGAGAGGAUGAUCAGCCACACUGGGACUGAGACACGGCCCAGACUCCUACGGGAGGCAGCAGUGGGGAAUUUUCCGCAAUGGGCGAAAGCCUGACGGAGCAACGCCGCGUGAGGGACGAAGGCCUCUGGGCUGUAAACCUCUUUUCUCAAGGAAGAAGAUAUGACGGUACUUGAGGAAUAAGCCACGGCUAAUUCCGUGCCAGCAGCCGCGGUAAUACGGGAGUGGCAAGCGUUAUCCGGAAUUAUUGGGCGUAAAGCGUCCGCAGGCGGCCUUUCAAGUCUGCUGUUAAAGCGUGGAGCUUAACUCCAUCAUGGCAGUGGAAACUGAUAGGCUUGAGUAUGGUAGGGGCAGAGGGAAUUCCCGGUGUAGCGGUGAAAUGCGUAGAUAUCGGGAAGAACACCAGUGGCGAAGGCGCUCUGCUGGGCCAUUACUGACGCUCAUGGACGAAAGCCAGGGGAGCGAAAGGGAUUAGAUACCCCUGUAGUCCUGGCCGUAAACGAUGAACACUAGGUGUCGGGGGAAUCGACCCCUUCGGUGUCGUAGCUAACGCGUUAAGUGUUCCGCCUGGGGAGUACGCACGCAAGUGUGAAACUCAAAGGAAUUGACGGGGGCCCGCACAAGCGGUGGAGUAUGUGGUUUAAUUCGAUGCAACGCGAAGAACCUUACCAGGGUUUGACAUCCUGCGAACCUCUUAGAAAUUUGAGGGUGCCUUCGGGAAUGCAGUGACAGGUGGUGCAUGGCUGUCGUCAGCUCGUGUCGUGAGAUGUUGGGUUAAGUCCCGCAACGAGCGCAACCCACGUUUUUAGUUGCCAGCAUUUAGUUGGGCACUCUAGAAAGACCGCCGGUGAUAAACCGGAGGAAGGUGUGGAUGACGUCAAGUCAUCAUGCCCCUUACACCCUGGGCUACACACGUACUACAAUGCUACGGACAAAGGGCAGCAAACUCGCGAGAGCUAGCAAAUCCCAUAAACCGUGGCUCAGUUCAGAUCGUAGGCUGCAACUCGCCUACGUGAAGUAGGAAUCGCUAGUAAUCGCAGGUCAGCAUACUGCGGUGAAUACGUUCCCGGGCCUUGUACACACCGCCCGUCACACCAUGGAAGUUGG
RNAcentral lists this ribosomal RNA (1355 nucleotides) under uncultured marine bacterium. RNAcentral describes it as "bacterial SSU rRNA". It matches the Rfam family "Bacterial small subunit ribosomal RNA". The record is from RNAcentral.